AAGUCGUAACAAGGUUUCCGUAGGUGAACCUGCGGAAGGAUCAUUAUCGUACAACCGAGGCGCAAAGGCUGUCGCUGACCCCCCCAAAAGGUCGUGCACGCUCGAGCACUCUCACACAAUCCAUCUCACCUUUGUGCAUCACCGCGUGGGUCCCCCCUUUGCGGGGGAGGGCUCGCGUUUAUCACAUAAUACUUGAUACAGUGUAGAAUGUUUCUUUUGCGGUCACACGCAAUCAAUACAACUUUCAACAACGGAUCUCUUGGCUCUCGCAUCGAUGAAGAACGCAGCGAAAUGCGAUACGUAAUGUGAAUUGCAGAAUUCAGUGAAUCAUUGAAUCUUUGAACGCACCUUGCGCCCCUUGGCAUUCCGAGGGGCACACCCGUUUGAGUGUCGUGAAAUCUUCAAAACCCCUUUUUCUUUGGUCCAUUUUUGGUCGGGAAAAGGAUUUUUGGACUUGGAGGUUCAAUGCUUGCCUCGAAAGCGAGCUCCUCUUAAAUGAAUUAGUGGGGUCCGCUUUGCUGAUCCUCGACGUGAUAAGAUGUUUCUACGUUUUGGGUUUAGCACUGUCCCUUGGAUGCCUGCUCCUAACUGUCUCAUGGACAAUGAUGGUGCUCUGGUCACCGCCGUCUACAUCGGCGGAAGGCUGGACCCACAAAAAGAAAACCUUGACCUCAAAUCGGGUGAGACUACCCGCUGAACUUAA
RNAcentral lists this unclassified non-coding RNA (703 nucleotides) under fungal sp. JJ-14M. RNAcentral describes it as "partial contains 18S rRNA, ITS1, 5.8S rRNA, ITS2 and 28S RNA". The stretch from base 240 to 393 matches the Rfam family "5.8S ribosomal RNA". The record is from RNAcentral. Lineage: Eukaryota; Fungi.